AUAGAUAAUAGUAUUUGAAAUAUAUUUACAGGAAUUAAAAGAGGAUUGAACUCUUUUUCUGCUGAAAAUGUUGACGUCGCUUCACCUCUUGGAGUGAAAAGGGGAGUGAAUUCUUUUUCGGCUGUAAAUGUGGAUGCUGCGUCAUCAGCUGGAAUUAAAAGAGGAUUGAACUCUUUUUCUGCUGAAAAUGUUGACGUCGCUUCACCUCUUGGAGUGAAAAGGGGAGUGAAUUCUUUUUCGGCUGUAAAUGUGGAUGCUGCGUCAUCAGCUGGAAUUAAAAGAGGAUUGAACUCUUUUUCUGCUGAAAAUGUUGACGUCGCUUCACCUCUUGGAGUGAAAAGGGGAGUGAAUUCUUUUUCGGCUGUAAAUGUGGAUGCUGCGUCAUCAGC
Long non-coding RNA from Saccostrea cuccullata (small rock oyster), 389 nucleotides. RefSeq lists it as uncharacterized. The record is from RefSeq and is a predicted model, not a curated record. The transcript is spliced from 6 exons. Lineage: Eukaryota; Metazoa; Mollusca; Bivalvia; Ostreida; Ostreidae.